GGAACCUGCACACGUUGCGGAGCAACGAUAGUUAAAGA
Molecule: non-coding RNA, 38 nt
Filed under: human gut metagenome
Description: Selenocysteine insertion sequence 4
Rfam family: Selenocysteine insertion sequence 4
Source: RNAcentral